Long non-coding RNA from Candoia aspera, 648 nucleotides. RefSeq lists it as uncharacterized. Lineage: Eukaryota; Metazoa; Chordata; Lepidosauria; Squamata; Candoiidae. The transcript has 2 exons. The record is from RefSeq and is a predicted model, not a curated record.
UUAUCUUCCGUCCCCUACUGCACUUUGAACUGUGUGCUUGUUAAAGCUACUUUGAACCCGUGUCAUUACGCUACAGUGCAUUUUGUCUCUACUCUUUUAAAAGGGUGGGCUUUGCUCUCUUUGGAAUUGAAUAGCAAGAGUCCUGUGGUCCUGCCGAGGGGAGAAGGACUGAGUCCCAAACACAUGGCCUUUUCAAAGGUCAGAUUUAAUUUUUUAUUUUCACGAUAAUGAGGCUUCUCCCCUUUUUGAAAUCAGGAGAGCUGCAUUUUAUUUGCACUUUCUUCACUUCUCGUCUGAAAUUACAUUUAAAGCAGGGGUUAUGGGGGGGGGGAAGGGGAGCUACCAGCUGUUAAUUUUGAAAGGAGUUAUUGAAACGACUAAAAAUUUGCACCACUGACCUCUCCCCAUUUAUUGUAUUCUGUAUUUUGGCUUUUGUUUACUUUGCAGAGUUUUUUUAAAUACUCAGCCAGUCUUUGAGGUAAUAACAGUAUCCUAAGCAGAAGAUGCUGCUGGGUGUACAGGCUGUUGCCUCAAGGAACUACUCUCUGAGUCUAGGGUUUGGUCACUCCAGAGGCUCUUCAAAAGUUUCUGCCUAAUCAUAAUUUUUAAAAAUGAGAAUGAGGAAAAUAUUAAAUAUAUGAAAAAUAA